CUCGAGCGGCGAACGGGUGAGUAACACGUGAGUAACCUGCCCCAGGCUUUGGGAUAACCCCGGGAAACCGGGGCUAAUACCGGAUAUGACCAUCUGUCGCAUGGUGGGUGGUGGAAAGAUUUUUUGGCUUGGGAUGGGCUCGCGGCCUAUCAGCUUGUUGGUGGGGUGAUGGCCUACCAAGGCGGCGACGGGUAGCCGGCCUGAGAGGGCGACCGGCCACACUGGGACUGAGACACGGCCCAGACUCCUACGGGAGGCAGCAGUGGGGAAUCUUGCACAAUGGGCGGAAGCCUGAUGCAGCGACGCCGCGUGAGGGAUGACGGCCUUCGGGUUGUAAACCUCUUUCAGCAGGGACGAAGCGUUUGUGACGGUACCUGCAGAAGAAGCGCCGGCCAACUACGUGCCAGCAGCCGCGGUAAGACGUAGGGCGCAAGCGUUGUCCGGAUUUAUUGGGCGUAAAGAGCUCGUAGGCGGCUUGUCGCGUCGACUGUGAAAACCCGUGGCUCAACUGCGGGCUUGCAGUCGAUACGGGCAGGCUAGAGUUCGGUAGGGGAGACUGGAAUUCCUGGUGUAGCGGUGAAAUGCGCAGAUAUCAGGAGGAACACCGGUGGCGAAAGGCGGGUCUCUGGGCCGAUACUGACGCUGAGGAG
This 650-nucleotide ribosomal RNA is filed under the name Salinispora sp. SPM9-2. Its description in RNAcentral is "bacterial SSU rRNA". It matches the Rfam family "Bacterial small subunit ribosomal RNA", at positions 90 to 753 of the family's 1533-position model. Lineage: Bacteria; Bacillati; Actinomycetota; Actinomycetes; Micromonosporales; Micromonosporaceae. The record is from RNAcentral.